This 672-nucleotide long non-coding RNA is filed under the name Musa acuminata (dwarf banana). RNAcentral describes it as "long non-coding RNA (MACU_LNC002893)". Lineage: Eukaryota; Viridiplantae; Streptophyta; Magnoliopsida; Zingiberales; Musaceae. The record is from RNAcentral.
UUUCAAUAAGACUCAAUAUCAACCCUAUAACAGGGGUUGAGAGGUCGAAAGGAAAAUUCUUGACAUCUGAGCAACUCUUUCAAAGUAUAUAAUCAUAACAAAAACCAUAAAGCAGAAAGAAAAGGUUCUUCUUAGUGGAAAUCAGCAUCUUAGAUUUCCUGCCAUAAUAUGAUCAAAUUUCAAUAAGACUCAAUAUCAACUCUAAUAACAGGGGUUGAGAGGUGGAAAGGAAAAUUCUUGACAUCUGAGCAACUUUUCAAAGUACAUAAUCAUAACAAAAAGCCAUAAAGCAGAAAGAAAAGGUCGAGGGAGAUCAGCAUCUUAGAUUUCCUGCCAUAACAUGAUCAAAUUUCAAUAAGACUCGAUAUCAACUCUAUAACAGGGGUUGAGAGGUGGAAAGGAGAAUUCUUGACAUCUGAGCAAANNNNNNNNNNNNNNNNNNNNUCAAUGUACUACAUAAUCUUAAUUAAAAGCCACCAAGCAGAAAGAAAAGGUUAUUCUUAGUGGAGGUCAGCAUCUUAGAAUUUCCUACCAUAAUUUGAUCAAAUUUCAAUAAGACUCAAUAUCAACUCUAUAACAGGGGUUGAGAGGUGGAAAGGAAAAUUAUUGACAUCUGAGAAAUUCUUUCAAUGUACACAAUCAUAAUAAAAGGCCACAAAGCAGAAAGAAAAG